Long non-coding RNA from Pristis pectinata (smalltooth sawfish), 379 nucleotides. RefSeq lists it as uncharacterized. Lineage: Eukaryota; Metazoa; Chordata; Chondrichthyes; Rhinopristiformes; Pristidae. The record is from RefSeq and is a predicted model, not a curated record. The transcript is spliced from 2 exons.
GAGGCGCGGCCGUCGGACGGGGCCGGCCGUUGGGUCUGCCGACCGGCGGACGGAGCCGGGCGUGGGGCCUAGCGGUCGCCGCGCCCCCAGCCCGGGGAGCGGGCUGGUUGGUGUCGCGGCUCGUCCCGGGCUGGUCAUGUAAGUGGUCCUUCCAGGGGAAGGCACACGUCGGGGUCGACACGGAGAGCUCUGGGCGGGCGUGAUCUAUCCCAGCCUCACAGACGUGCACCCUGCCCUGGGGCUGUCGUCGAUUUGACUGAACCAGACUCAGACUUGAUUUAAUUCUUUAAUGCAACAGCAGUUUGGCAGGAGUAUAUCCUGAACUGGAGUAUGGCCUCAUUCUGUAGCGGCAAUGAAAAUAAAACGUGACUGCUAUCCA